AUCUGAAAAUGGAUGAGAUCGAGUGGGAUUUCCAUAGUAAACUGACGCUGUUGGAGCGCAGGCUGGAAGCGGAGAGCGGGAGGAGAGUGGAGAUGGAGAAAUGCCAGAGAGAGAUCGAGAAUCUGCAGGAGGAACUGGUGAAGAGCCCUCCAUGGAUCUGUGUUUCCCCCUGUCCCCCAUUAAGUCGAAAACUCACCCCACGACGAGAUAUACCCUCUUAC
Molecule: long non-coding RNA, 221 nt
Organism: Leucoraja erinaceus (little skate)
Lineage: Eukaryota; Metazoa; Chordata; Chondrichthyes; Rajiformes; Rajidae
Exons: 3
Source: RefSeq, a predicted model, not a curated record